CGCUGGCGGCGUGCUUACACAUGCAAGUCGAGCGGAAAGGCCCUUCGGGGUACUCGAGCGGCGAACGGGUGAGUAACACGUGAGCAACCUGCCCCUGGCUCUGGGAUAGCUCCGGGAAACCGGGAUUAAUACCGGAUAUGACCCCCUUCUGCAUGGUGGGGGGUGGAAAGUUUUUCGGCUGGGGAUGGGCUCGCGGCCUAUCAGCUUGUUGGUGGGGUGAUGGCCUACCAAGGCGACGACGGGUAGCCGGCCUGAGAGGGCGGGCGGCCACACUGGGACUGAGACACGGCCCAGACUCCUACGGGAGGCAGCAGUGGGGAAUAUUGCGCAAUGGGCGGAAGCCUGACGCAGCGACGCCGCGUGGGGGAUGAAGGCCUUCGGGUUGUAAACCUCUUUCAGCAGGGACGAAGGGCGACUGACGGUACCUGCAGAAGAAGCGCCGGCUAACUACGUGCCAGCAGCCGCGGUAAUACGUAGGGCGCAAGCGUUGUCCGGAAUUAUUGGGCGUAAAGAGCUCGUANGCGGCCUGUCGCGUCUGCUGUGAAAUCCCGGGGCUUAACCCCGGGCGUGCAGUGGAUACGGGCUGGCUGGAGGCAGGCAGGGGAAAAUGGAAUU
This 615-nucleotide ribosomal RNA is filed under the name uncultured bacterium. RNAcentral describes it as "bacterial SSU rRNA". It matches the Rfam family "Bacterial small subunit ribosomal RNA", at positions 34 to 668 of the family's 1533-position model. The record is from RNAcentral.